This 832-nucleotide long non-coding RNA is filed under the name Scophthalmus maximus (turbot). RNAcentral's name for it is "lncRNA (ENSSMAG00000026227.1)". Lineage: Eukaryota; Metazoa; Chordata; Actinopteri; Pleuronectiformes; Scophthalmidae. The record is from RNAcentral.
CAGACCUUUUGUGGUUGAGUUGCAAUAAGACAGCAGCAGUGAUGAUUCAGCUGCCAAAGGACAUCAUCCAUCUCCAACCUCCGUCAGGACCGAGCGUCUCCUGAGAGAUAGAGAGAGCGAGAAAGUUAGUCAUGGAUCAGAAGACAAAUGAGAAUCCCAACUCCACCUCCCCUCAGAAGCACAUGAAGAACAGGUCCAAAUCAACAGAGGAGAUGCAACACUCGAAGAAGGCCUUUUCCUCACAAAAAUCCCUCCCAGGCCGACCAGAGCUGGACAGAGUGAAGGAGUGUCCUGAUGGCUCUGACACGCCCCCGUCCUCCACUGAAGAAGAGAAGUGAUAAAUAAAAGGAUCACUGGGACAAUAGAGCUGCCAUCAAGCAACAACAUCAUCAUACAACAACAUGACACGUACAUUAAAAUGUACAUAUGCAAACAAAGAAACAUAGAAAAUAUUGAGGAUAACAGUGAACUAAAUUAGAAAAUAUACAAGUGGCGAACAGAUGAUUGGUUGAAAGAAACUGUUGAAAAUAAUGGUUACUUGAACGCACGCAUGCACACACACACACGCACGCACGCACGCACGCACGCACACACCCACACACACACCCACACACACACAUACACACACACACACACACACACACACAAUCUGAGACAAUCGCAUGCAAACAAAAGGACACCCAUGAUGAUGCUGUUUCAUUGUACUGUACUCUGAGAGUCAUUAACAUACCAGACUGAACAAGUAUUGACAAUAAAGUGAUUUCUCAUCUAUUCUCAUUCACACCAGUAAUCAAAUUCCUCCUCCGCCUGCAAAUACCAGAUGUAAUGACAA